This 385-nucleotide long non-coding RNA is filed under the name Malus domestica (apple). Its description in RNAcentral is "long non-coding RNA (MDOM_LNC021172)". The record is from RNAcentral. Lineage: Eukaryota; Viridiplantae; Streptophyta; Magnoliopsida; Rosales; Rosaceae.
ACAAAAAUGUGCAUUAAAAGUUGUGUAAAAAAAAUGAUGUCACGCAUAUGCCCCUAUAUAUAGUAAAAAUUUAUCUUUAGGUUUUCCCUUGAAACUUUAUUUUGAUCUCAAUUUACUCACUGUAACUCACUGUAACUCAAAAAUCAACAUUUUACUCCUGAAACUCAAAAUUUAUUUCACUUUGACCAGUGGACUGUCUCUUCUCCCUGAAACUUAUAGAUGGCCUCUAGAAACAUAUGUGGAACUCAACACCCAAUAAGACUAUGCUACAUGUGCAAUAAAUUUGAUUAUAAAUUUUUAUUAUGCUUUAACAUUCAAUAACAAGAGAAUAUUAAGUUUUAAAGAAAUUGAAGAAAUUAAAAAAAAUAAAAAGAAAUUGAUUAGC